This is a long non-coding RNA of Brassica napus (rape), 1174 nucleotides long. RefSeq lists it as uncharacterized. NCBI's taxonomy places the organism in Eukaryota, Viridiplantae, Streptophyta, Magnoliopsida, Brassicales, Brassicaceae. The record is from RefSeq and is a predicted model, not a curated record. The transcript is spliced from 6 exons.
AGGGCAGAUUUUGCUAAAGCACCUGUCUCUUUUUUAUCUUCUCUACCAAUAUGAAAAAAACGCGAUUGAAACAAAAUCAGAAGAGAGAUCAUGAAUAUCUUCAAUGAUCCCCACCAGUUCCUUCCCCUGAUUCUUGUUGUUGAUUGCUCUAAUGAGCGAUCGAUUAUCGGAGCACAUCCAGAGAUUUGAGAUUCCUUGACUAACCGCCUUGAAGAGACCUUCCCUUACGGCCAGAGCUUCGGCGACCAGUGGAGAGAUGACAAAGUGCUGAGUCGUCUACCCCUGAUUCACUGCCGAUUCUUGUCUCCCUCUUAACACCCAUGCAAGGCCUGCUCUGAUUCGUGCUGCGUCCCAUGCCGCAUCUGAUUUACAGACAAUGAUCUCGAGAUCUGGCGGGGGACUUAAACUUUUGUCUUCAAAGACCAGGAGGUUACGGUCCUUCCAGAUCGACCAAACUACCCACGGGAAAAUCGAUUUUGAGACUCCUAUUGGUGGUAGACAAACCGCUGAGCGAAGUCAAGUUGUCAUCGUUUUGAAAGUAUCAGUGACAGCUAGGUGAACUGUAUCUUUUAUGGGAAUGCAGUCCCAAACUUCUUUGCAAACGGACAGAUUCUCCCCCAGAGGCAGUGCAUUCUGAAUCACAGACCAGAUAAAGACUUUCAUCUUUGGGGAGCACGAUGUCUUCCAAACAUCCCUGAUCCAAUCAAAUUCCUCAACAGGAUCCUGAAGGGAGUGGCUGCCACACAUAUAUAUCUUCUACUCCUCGCAGACUUGGUUGCAAGCAUUGGAUUUGAUCAGCAAAAUCAGGUUGGAAUUGCAGAUAGCACCGCUUUGAGCAUCGUCAGUUUCCCGGCUUUUGACAGGCAUUUGGUAGACCAGCUUACGGCUCGUUGCCGUAUCUUGUCUACAAUGGAUGUGAACAGAUCACGCUUACGGCGUUUAAAACGUUAUAGGGUUCCAAGCUUCAUACUGUGUUAGAAGCUGUAGUAGCUUCCUGCUGGACUCAGGUGAUGCAGAGCAGAAGAACAUUGUAUCAUCGGCAAAAAUGUAUGCAUUACUAUUAUAAUUCGGAUGAUCUAUGCAUUAUCUGUUUGUAAUACAUGUAUUACUGUAGCAAUUGUAAUAACACAAUACCAAAUUAAAAAUAAAUCUAUUUAAUAUCAUUCAAAUUAAG